Molecule: long non-coding RNA, 448 nt
Filed under: Dromaius novaehollandiae (emu)
Lineage: Eukaryota; Metazoa; Chordata; Aves; Casuariiformes; Dromaiidae
Description: lncRNA (ENSDNVG00000008821.1)
Source: RNAcentral
AUGUUUGGACAAACAAAUAUACUUAGUUCCGUGUUCAGAAGUGUGGAUCUCCGUACUGUCUGGAUGUUAUCCGAUGAAUAUCUAGGUGCAGAGGAUUGGACUGAUUAUAUUUGGAAUGAGCAAAAAUCCAUCUCCGUACCUGACCUUUUUGAGGGGUAUUUCAUGCAUGUCCCUCCCCCUCUUGGCGAUUUAUCAGGAAGUUGCUCACAGAGAAUUUGCUCAGUCUAGCGGAAGGUUUCUCAAGGUCAGCGUGAUGACAUAUCAUAGGCACAUACUGUACUUGUAUAUCAGCAGUUCCUGAGAAGAGGCUACAAAUCAGUAGUCAAGCAUAGUAGAUCUCCAGGCUUUCAUCUCCAUAAUGGACUUCCCCACUUGAAUAUGAAGGUAGGUCAAUGUUACAGACUUCAGAAUCUUUUUCAAAGUAGCUGUGAGUUAUAUCACUAAAAUC